AUCUGCUGCGUGCAGCGUAUGCUAAUUACGUCGCCCGGCCGGCCCAAAGGCCAAAACACUCGAGUACCUCCUGCAGUCCCGUACCAGACACCUGGGCAGGCCUACACCUGGGGUGGGGCCCCUGGGAUUUGGGGGCCCAGGGCAGCCGCCUCCCUGCCCCCCCAAGGGCUGGCCCUGUUUAUCCGGCUCUCUUAUUAGAGGUGGAGGUAUGGCAUGCAGUGUGGGAUGGCUCGCUGAAGGUAGCAAAGGAGCAGUCUUGGUCUUCUUGUCCUUUAUGCUGCGCUCGGGAUUCAUCGUUGCCGUUGUCGAGGUAGUGAUGGUGAAGGAGUACCUGGUGUUGCUUUAGAGGUGGACCUGGAUUUGGCUGCGUUUUGCGCAGCUUCCUAGCGUGCAGGCCCUUUC
This 402-nucleotide long non-coding RNA is filed under the name Setaria viridis. Its description in RNAcentral is "long non-coding RNA (SVIR_LNC002216)". The record is from RNAcentral. Lineage: Eukaryota; Viridiplantae; Streptophyta; Magnoliopsida; Poales; Poaceae.